UAUUGGUGUUACCAUCAAGGACGGUCACGGCCGUCCUUUCACCUGCUCUUUGGGUACCAGGCGCUGGGUGCACCCUUCCCUGGCGUUAGUCCCCACCAGGACAAUCAAGCCACCCUUUCGGCUCCUCUGCAGCGGCUGACAAGGCCCAGCCGGCCGCCCUCUCUGCCGCUCCACUGCGCGGUGCUGGUCGUGGGUUUUCUGUCCUUUCCCUGCUCUCUCUCUGGCCGCCCGGCUUCCUUCCUCCAGCACCACGCCGUGCUCCCGCCCCAGGGCCUUUGCCCCAGCCGCGUCAUCUGCCCGGGAUGCUCCUUCCCCGUACCUGGCUCACCAAGCGUCCUGUUCCUCUGCUUUUAGCUCAGCAGCCGCCUUCUCAACAAGGCCCCUGGGCCGUCUGCAGGCCCCGGUCCCCAGGACUCCCUCACCCGCUCUCCUCUUCCUCCUUUCCUCGGUACUGACCGCCCUCCAGCAGAGGCUAGGUGAUGUCCUCAUCUAUCCGUACCCCCUGUGCUUCUCGUCCGUGGCUGCAGUCUCCACGAGGCUGGGGCUCCUUGCUGGUUUGUUCACGAGGCUCCCCCGGCGCCUACACCGGGUCUGGCGCAGAGUAAACCCGAAGGAAACGUCUCUCUGCCGACGCAGUCACCCCGCUCACCCCUGCCGCUGUCCCUUGGGCUCCCACAAAGAUGCCCCGUUGGGAGGACACGUUGGUCGCGUGAAGUGAGGCUGGUUGCCCACUGACGGACUUUUGAGAGCAUUUCGGAGCCGCUGCGGCCCCAGUCCUGACCGUUCAUCCGUAGGCAGGGACAGACGACGUCCUUCGGGCUGCAGGGGUUUUCCUCCCGUCUCUCCAUUCACGGGCCCCGAGAUGCCUGCAGGGUCACUGUGAACUGGGACCGCGGGUGGACGGCCUGUGGCGUGGCCACUAGGCCCUCGGUGUCCCUGAGCCACCCUCCCCGGCCCGCGCUGCCCGUGCUCCUUGUGCUGGGGACGGAGUCGCUGGCCUCUCAGAGGCACUUCAGAUUGAAGGGACUGCCCAGCUUUCCCGAAGGCCCCUUCCGUGACAGCCCUAAGUGAAUGUCUUUCCUGGAACUCACUUUCAAAAUGUAUUUAUUUUAACGCUCAGGUCCUCUCGGAGUUUUGGUUUCCAUGUUCUCUCCUCGGCCGACCUUUCCUGUCUUCCCCGUAGCGCGUGGUACAGCAGCAUUGAUUCGGGGUAAAGUAUUUUGAUUUUAAGGUGCAGCCCAUCCAUAAACUUUUCUAUCAAUAA
Molecule: long non-coding RNA, 1264 nt
Organism: Nyctereutes procyonoides (raccoon dog)
Lineage: Eukaryota; Metazoa; Chordata; Mammalia; Carnivora; Canidae
Exons: 2
Source: RefSeq, a predicted model, not a curated record